GACGAACGCUGGCGGCGUGCUUAACACAUGCGAGUCGAGCGGUAAGGCCCUUUCGGGGGUACACGAGCGGCGAACGGGUGAGUAACACGUGGGUGACCUGCCCUCAGCACUGGGAUAAGCCUGGGAAACCGGGUCUAAUACUGGAUAUGACUCCAUGACGCAUGUUGUGGGGUGAAAGCCUUGUGCGGCUGAGGAUGGGCCCGCGGCCUAUCAGCUUGUUGGUGGGGUGAUGGCCUACCAAGGCGACGACGGGUAGCCGGCCUGAGAGGGCGACCGGCCACACUGGGACUGAGACACGGCCCAGACUCCUACGGGAGGCAGCAGUGGGGAAUCUUGCGCAAUGGGCGAAAGCCUGACGCAGCGACGCCGCGUGAGGGAUGACGGCCU
This 387-nucleotide ribosomal RNA is filed under the name uncultured bacterium. Its description in RNAcentral is "bacterial SSU rRNA". It matches the Rfam family "Bacterial small subunit ribosomal RNA", at positions 28 to 417 of the family's 1533-position model. The record is from RNAcentral.